Populus euphratica (Euphrates poplar) is the source of this 2368-nucleotide RNA transcript. It is a transcript of the gene named U2 snRNP auxilliary factor, large subunit, splicing factor, with no coding region annotated. The transcript is spliced from 14 exons. NCBI's taxonomy places the organism in Eukaryota, Viridiplantae, Streptophyta, Magnoliopsida, Malpighiales, Salicaceae. The record is from RefSeq and is a predicted model, not a curated record.
CUAUUAACUAAUGUCUCCAAGUACAUUCACACAUCCACGUUCCUUGAGCAACUCACUUGGCUAUAUAAAUACAAUCAAAACCCCCAAUUUCAAGCCCUAGAUUUCUCAAUCCUCUUGUACUCUUCUUCGUUCUCACUUCCCGUUUCGCAGCCAAAUCAUCAAAAGUCAAAACCUAAAACUGAAUCAAAAUUACAAAAAAAUACGCCAUGACUGAUUAUGAAGCAGAAAGAUACGAAGGUAACGGCGGUGCCGACUUCGAAAACCAGAGCUACGGUGCCGGCGGCGCCGAUUCCUCUCCCCCGCCUCGCGGCGGCGCUGAUGAUCAAAGCGAUUCUAAGUCUGAGCGUGGGUCUCGUGACUAUGAGAGGGAGUCUUCAAAAAGUAGGGAAAAAGAGAGAAGCAGAGACAGGGACAGAGGUAGAGAUAGGGAAAGAGAUCGAGACAAGGAUAGGGAGAAAAGCAAGGACAGGGAUAGAGAUAGGGACCGAGACAAGGAUCGUGACCGUCAUCGUGACCGUGAUCGUGAUCGCCAUAGAGAUCGCAGUGAAAGGAGGGAUCGAGGUCGAGAUAGGGAUGAUGAUGAUUAUCACCGAAGCCGAGACUAUGACAGCAGGCGGAGAGACUAUGAUAGGGACAAAGAAGACAGACAUAGACGUCGGUCACGAUCUCGUUCGAAGGGUAGAUCUGAGCACAGAUCGAGGUCGCGUUCUAAGAGCAAAAGGAUCAGUGGUUUUGAUAUGGCUCCUCCUGCUUCUGCAAUGUUGCCUAGUGCUGCUGCUGCUGCUGCUGUUGCUGCUGCAGUGUGGAAAAUCCGUAUCAAAUUACAUGGUAUCAUUUGGUCAGAUUACUGGGACAGCUCCUCCCAUUCCUGGAAUGUUUCCCAACAUGUUUCCAUUAGGGACUGGCCAGCAGUUUGGUGCUCUCCCUGUUAUGCCAGUUCAGGCAAUGACUCAACAGGCUACCAGGCAUGCACGGAGGGUCUAUGUUGGCGGGCUUCCACCUAUAGCUAAUGAACAGUCUGUGGCUACCUUUUUUAGCCAGGUUAUGGCUGCCAUUGGAGGGAACACUGCAGGCCCAGGGGAUGCUGUUGUUAAUGUUUAUAUAAACCAUGAAAAGAAGUUUGCAUUUGUGGAGAUGAGAUCUGUUGAGGAGGCCAGUAAUGCAAUGGCUUUGGAUGGGAUUAUUUUCGAGGGAGCACCUGUUAAGGUUAGGAGACCGAGUGACUAUAACCCGUCUCUGGCCGCAACACUUGGUCCAAGCCAGCCCAAUCCCAAUCUUAAUCUGGCAGCAGUUGGCCUUACUCCUGGUUCUGCUGGUGGACUCGAGGGUCCAGACCGCAUUUUUGUGGGUGGACUCCCUUAUUACUUCACAGAAGCACAGAUCAGGGAGUUGUUGGAGUCUUUUGGAGCUCUCCGUGGUUUUGAUCUUGUAAAAGACAGAGAGACUGGGAACUCAAAAGGCUAUGCAUUUUGUGUUUACCAAGAUCUUUCAGUGACAGACAUAGCCUGUGCUGCUCUGAAUGGAAUUAAAAUGGGUGAUAAAACUCUCACUGUUCGACGUGCCAACCAGGGCACCAACCAGCCAAAACCAGAGCAAGAGAAUGUACUAUUGCAUGCUCAGCAGCAGAUUGCAUUGCAGAGGCUUAUGUUGCAGCCACCACCUGUAGUCACGAAAGUUGUAUGCCUAACUCAAGUAGUUACUGUGGAUGAGCUCAAAGAUGAUGAUGAGUAUGAAGACAUUUUGGAAGACAUUAGAAUGGAAGCUGGGAAAUUUGCCAUUUCUAGUCCCACAUUCUGCUAUAAAGAAUCAAGCUUAACAUACACAGACAGAAGACUUCAUAAUCCCUUAUUUAUAUUUACUUGAGAUUGGUUUCCAUUUUUCAAUAAAAAAUAGUUGUUUUGAAAAUUUUGGAUUGCAUAUUUUCACACGUUAUAUGCAGGUCAACUGGUGAAUGUUGUGAUCCCACGCCCAAGACCAGAUGGUGAAAAUGCACCAGGAGUUGGGAAGGUGUUCUUGGAAUAUGCAGACACUGAAGGUUCUUCAAAAGCACGAGCAGGGAUGAACGGGAGGAAAUUUGGCGGAAAUCAUGUUGUGGCUGUCUUUUUUCCAGAGAACAAGUUCUCCCAGGGAGAAUAUGAUGAAUGACUAAUUAGUUGUGUAGAGGCUGCUUCCUUCCACCACUUGGGUUUUGGAUCCUGUGAUACCCUGUUAUUAUUAGUGGUUAUGUUUUAAAUGAUAGCUUAGAAGUCUACAACCUCUUGCCUUUGGCUGUUUGAUUGAAUGCCUCCCUGUUGAAGUCUGUGAACAGAUGACCGUUAAACAUUGAACUAGUUGAGAUGAAUUUCUAUGAUAUUCGACUACUUGCAUC